UACAGGGGGUGCAAACGUUGCUCGGAAUCAUUGGGCGUAAAGCGCACGUAGGCGGUCUGUUAUGUCGGAUGUGAAAGCCCUCGGCUCAACUGAGGAAGUGCAUCCGAAACUGGCAGGCUAGAGUACUAAAGAGGGUCGCGGAAUUCCCGGUGUAGAGGUGAAAUUCGUAGAUAUCGGGAGGAACACCGGUGGCGAAGGCGGCUUCCUGGACCGAUACUGACGCUGAGGCGCGAAAGCUAGGGGAGCAAACGGG
Molecule: ribosomal RNA, 253 nt
Filed under: uncultured bacterium
Lineage: Bacteria
Description: partial 16S ribosomal RNA
Rfam family: Bacterial small subunit ribosomal RNA
Source: RNAcentral